Pongo abelii (Sumatran orangutan) is the source of this 148-nucleotide unclassified non-coding RNA. It matches the Rfam family "Metazoan signal recognition particle RNA". From Rfam's summary of the family: The signal recognition particle (SRP) is a universally conserved ribonucleoprotein. NCBI's taxonomy places the organism in Eukaryota, Metazoa, Chordata, Mammalia, Primates, Hominidae. The record is from Ensembl.
GCUGGGUGUGGUGGCGCGCACCUGUAAUCCCAGCUACUCAGGAGGCUGAGGCAGUAGAAUCGCUUGAACCCGGGGGGCGGAGGUUGCAGUGAGCCGAGAUCACGCCACUGCACUACAGCCUGGGUGACAGAGCGAGACUCCGUCUCAA